Molecule: non-coding RNA, 1163 nt
Organism: Dermatophagoides farinae (American house dust mite)
Lineage: Eukaryota; Metazoa; Arthropoda; Arachnida; Sarcoptiformes; Pyroglyphidae
Source: RefSeq, a predicted model, not a curated record
AACUGUUGCUGCUGUUGAUGAUGAUGAUGAUGAUGGUAACAAUAUGGCCGUUGGCGUUUAUAUCUGAUUAUUAUUAUUAUUUUGUGUAAAUGUGGAAAUUACCAUCAUCAUUUUGAUGAUUAUGAUUAUGAUGAUGAUGAUGAUGAUGAAAAGUGAGUGUUUGAGAGAGUCCUACAUAUAAAUAAAUUUUAUAUAGAAAGCGGUAGAGAGAGUCUGAAUAAAUGAAGAAAAGAAGAAAAAAAAAAUAUAUUCAGCCAUGUCCAUGACAACAGCAACAGUGAUGACGACGAUCGCGACCUGACUGACCCAAAUUUUUUUCGGUUUGGUUUGGUUUGGUUUGAAAAUACACACACACACACACACGCCAAGCAUCAUUGUUUAUUUCUACCCGAAAUGUUAUUUGGCUUAUGUCUCAACUGAAUGAAAUGAAAUGAAUGACCUAUCGAAAUCGAUUGACCAACUGACCAUUUAAAGAAUAUAAUGGCUUAACUUGUUGCUGUUGCUGCUGCUGUGGUUAUUGUUGCUGGCUAAUUCGGUUUCAUUCAACAAUUUGGUUUUUUUUUCUUCUCCGAAAUUAUCUUUCAAUGGAUGUUUGACAUGCUCAAUUUUCACUAUUUGAAAUUAUCGUUAUUUUUUUUCUUCUUUUCUUAUGUAUAAGAAAAAUGAAAUGAAAUGAGAUCCAAACCAAGCGAAUACAUCAGCAGCAAAAAAAAAAAAAAAAAUAAAAUAAAAAUUAUGUAUUGGCAACAGGUAGGCAGCAGAAAUUUUCAAUUAUAACAAGACAACCAACGCUGAAGACGAAUACGACGAUGAUGAUGAUUAUUAUUAUCAUAAUCACAUCGAAAUACACACACACAGACAACCAGUCCAGUAAAAGGUAGGUUGGCAUCAUCAUCAUCAUCAUCAUCAUCAUAUGUGAAUAAAGGCAACGAAAAGAAAAAAAAAAUGGGAAUGAUUAUCGUCGUUAUGGUAAUUGUAUGAAUUGUUUGUCGACUACUACUACUAUAUAGACAGCGAUAUAUUUAGAUCAUCAUCAUCAUCAUCAUCAUCAUGAUCAUGAACAUAAUCAUGACCAUUUAGGUAGAUAUCGUUUUUGAACAAAUGAAGAAAAAAAAAGUGAUUCAGCCCUUUCACUAUCAUCAUCAUCAAAUAAAUAAAUAAAU